GUCAGUACUUUAAAUACUGUUCCCUUCUGGCUUACAAAUUUUCUGCUGAAAGACAUCUGAUAGCCAUGAGAUUAGGUAAAAAUGUUUGCCAGACUGGUCUUGAAGGCAUGUCCUUGUGUGUGGUGUGCUUAUGCAGCCUGUGUGUACUCAGCAGCUUUGGUGGGAGAGCUGGAUCUGAAGUGAGCAUGGGUUGUGUCUUCUCCUGGGGUGUAGUUGUGACUGUUUCCUUGAAGGGGUAGAGCUAGAGCUGGAGGAGCUACAGCCAAAGCCUGGUGUGAGCUGUGGCUUCUCCAUCAGUGCAGUGGAGCUUGCCGCCUUAACAGGGGUGGAGCUGAAGCUGGAGAUGGUGAAGCCAAAGCCUGGUACCAGCCUUAGCUUUACUCCCUGUGAUGCAGGGAGCAAAGGCUGGAGCAAGAGGGCUGGAGCUGAAAACUGGGCUGGGGUCAUGCUGGGGUCAGCCAGAGAGUUAGGCUGUUUUCAGUCUGCUCCCUGUGUUCUGAGACUGGGAGCAAGCAAGUCUUGCUCACGCUCUUCAAGAGUGGAAUCUCAGGGAGUUUGAGCCGUGGCUCAGCAGAAAUGAAUCAGACUAGCAUCCAUAAGGACACAGGUUCAAUCCCUGGCCUCACUCACUGCGUUAAGGAUCUGGUGUUGCCAUGAGCUGUGGUGUAGGUUGCAGACAUGGCUCAUAUUUGGUGUUGCUGUGGCUGUGGUGUAGACCAGCGGCUACAGCUUUGCUUCGACCCCUAGUCUGGAACCUGCAUAUGCUUUGGGUACAGGCCUAAAAAGACAAAAAAAUAAUAAAUACUGAGGGAAGUGAAUUAUCAUCUGGGGUGAGAGAAAGGUAAGGGCAGAGAAGAUGUGGAGAAGGAUGUUAACAAAUGUCCUUUUUUUUUUUGCUUUUUAGGGCCACACCUGCAGCAUAUGGAGUUCCCAGGCUAGGGGUCAAAUCAGAGCUACAGCCAUUGGCAACACACAGCCACACCACAGGCAGAGCAACUUGGGAUCUAAGCCGAGUCUGUGACCUACACCACAGCUCAUGGCAACACCGAAUCCUUAACCCACUGAGCAAGGCCAGGGAUCGGACCUUCAUCCUCAUGGAUACUAGUUGGGUUCAUUUCCACUGAGCCACAAUGGGAGCUCCCCCACCUGAUGUCUUGUAUGCUGUGUGAGAAGUAGAAUAACCACCAUGGAAAGACAAGAAUAGGUGAAUGUAUAAAGAUUGUCAGCUAUGGCUGUCUUAGAGCUCUGCCUUCAAUAAUCAGGGGGUGAUCUAGGACUGAAAGCUUCCUUCAGGCCCUCAAGUUUAAGAAGAUGGGAGGGGAGUGCAGAUAAAAUUCAUAGGCUAGGGGUUGAAUUGGAGCUGCAGCUGCUGGCCUACACCACAGCCACAGCAACCUGGGAUCUGAGCUGUGUCUGCCACCUACACCACAGCUUAUGGCAAUGCUGGAUCCUUAACCCACUGAGCAAGGCCAGCAAACCAGCAUUCGCAUGGAUACUAGUCAGGCUUGUUUCCACUAAACCACAAUUGGAACUCCCAUACUCUCACCACAUUUAUUCAACAAAGUAUUGGAAGUCCUAACCACAGCAAUCUGACAAAAGAAAUAAAAUGUACCCAAAUUGGAAAAGAGCUAAAAUUGUCACCCUAUGCAGAUGACAUGAUACUAUAUAUAGAAAACCCCCAGGACUUCACAUAAAAAUACUAGAGCUGAUCAAUGAAUUCAUCAAAGUAGCAGGAUGCAAGAUUAACAUUCAGAAAUCAGUUGCAUUUCUGUAUAUUAACAAUGAAAUAUUAGAAAAGAAAUAUAAAAAUACAAAACCUUUUAAAAUUGCAUUCCAAAAAAUUAAAUAGCUAGGAAUCAACCUGACUAAGGAGGUGAAAGACUUAUAUGUGGAGAACUAUAAAACAUUGAUCAAGGAAAUUAAAAAGGACUCAAAGAAAUGGAAAGAUAUUUCAUGCUCUGGGAUUGGAAGAAUUAAUAUUGUUAAAAUGGCCAUACUACCCAAAGCAAUGUACAGAUUCAACGCAAUCCCUACCAAGUUACCCAUGACAUUUUUUUUUUCACAGAAUUGGAACAAUCAAUCCAAAAAUUUAUAUGGAAACUUAAAAGACCCAGAAUCACCAAAGCAAUCCUGAGGGACAAAAACCAAACAGGAGACAUAACUCUUCCAGACUUCAGACAAUAUUACAAAGCCACAGUCAUCAAAACAGUGUGGUGCUGGUACCAAAACAGACAUACAGACCAACGGAACAGAAUAGAGAACCCAGAAAUAAACCUGUACACUUUGGUCAAUUAAUCUUUGACAAAUGAGGCAAGAAUAUAAAACGGGAAAAAGAUAGUCUCUUCAGUGAGUCGUGCUGGGAAAACUGGACAGCUGCAUGUAAAUCAAUGAAACUAGAACACACCCUCACACCAUGCACAAAAAUAAACUCAAAAUGACUGAAAGAUUUAAAUAUAAGACAAGACACCAUCAAACUCCUGGAAGAGAACAUAGUCAAAACAUUCUCUGACAUCAACCUUACAAAUGUUUCCUCAGGUCAGUCUCGUCUCCCAAAACAAAAGAGAUAAAAGCCAAGAUAAACCAAUGGGACCUAAUCAAACUGAAAAGCUUUUGUACAGNAAACAGAUAUUUUUCCAAAGAAAACAUACAGAUGGGGCAAUAGGCACAUGAAAAGACGUUCAACAUUGCCACUAGGUGGCAGUGCUGUAUAGUGAGAAAAAGAAAAACCACAUUCAUUCUUUAUCAGAAUUAAAUAUUUCUGUAUACCUAAAUUUAAAAUAUCAGGCUCCCACCUGUGAGAAGUCAUUUUCUCUGUACUUCAACGGUACUGCGUACUGUAACAGCAAGCUUCUCCAUUCAAUUCAAAGUCCCUUAAAGAUGACUGUUUUAUGCUUCUUUAAUCUAUUACAUAAUACCUGCUAAAUAAAUGGGUAUUUUAUGAGUACCCCCGAAUAUAUCUUAAUUUUUUAAUGAUUGUGAAAAAAAUUUAAACAUACAGUUUUUAAGUUUAAUGUAGAGUAGAAAGUAUGAAAGAAGGAAAACAGGAGUUCCCUGUUAGCUCAGUGAGUUGAGGAUUAGGGUGUUGUGCCAGGAGUCACUGCUCAGACACAUGUUCAAGCCCUAGCUGGUGGAUUUCUGCAUGCUGUGAUCACAGCCAAAAAAAAAAAAAAAAAAGAAAAAAA
RNAcentral lists this long non-coding RNA (3182 nucleotides) under Sus scrofa (pig). Its description in RNAcentral is "lncRNA (ENSSSCG00015002075.1)". Lineage: Eukaryota; Metazoa; Chordata; Mammalia; Artiodactyla; Suidae. The record is from RNAcentral.